CAACUCAACCUCGACUUCCGCCCCCCCGCAGCCCCCAGCUCCGCCCCCAUCUCCGUCUUCGCCCUGCCGCCGUCGCCCUCCGACCUCUACAUCUCGCAGUCUCCCAAACUUCUCUGCCUGGUCACCAGCCUGCCCAGCGACGAGGGCCUGGCCGUCACCUGGAGCCGGGUGGGCGGCGGCCAUCUUGGCCAGCCCCUCCCCCUGCGGCUGAGCCACCACUUCAACGGGACCUUCACGGCCGCCAGCGAGCUGCCGGUGGCCACCGGCGACUGGGAGGGCGGCGCCGCCUUCGUCUGCCGGGUGGGGCACGCCGAGCUGCCGGCGCCGCUGGAGAGGAGGGUGGAGAGGCGGCAAG
Molecule: non-coding RNA, 355 nt
Organism: Onychostruthus taczanowskii (white-rumped snowfinch)
Lineage: Eukaryota; Metazoa; Chordata; Aves; Passeriformes; Passeridae
Source: the annotation of a RefSeq genome assembly